Molecule: non-coding RNA, 399 nt
Filed under: Rhizobium sp. N1314
Lineage: Bacteria; Pseudomonadati; Pseudomonadota; Alphaproteobacteria; Hyphomicrobiales; Rhizobiaceae
Also listed under: 1 other name
Source: RNAcentral
GGUUCUGUAUGGCUCCGGCGUGAACCGGAACGUGGCAGCCAUUCCUCUGGGACAGCGCUCGCACGCUGCCUCACGCAACCCACCCGGAUGACUGGCCUGGAAACCGGCCGGAGAGCCUUUCGGCCCGCCGCAUCAUCCCUAUUCGGUCUUGCUCCCGGUGGGGUUUACCGUGCCAUAUCCGUUGCCGGAGAUGCGGUGGGCUCUUACCCCACCCUUUCACCCUUACCUGUCAUGACAGGCGGUUUGCUUUCUGUGGCACUUUCCCUGAGGUCGCCCUCGCCGGACGUUAUCCGGCACCGUGUUUCCGUGGAGCCCGGACUUUCCUCACCCUACCGCCUUUCGGCAUUGGUAAAGCGCGGCUGCCCGGCCAACUGGCAGGGCUCCCAUAAACGAGAGAGC